RNAcentral lists this ribosomal RNA (460 nucleotides) under uncultured bacterium. RNAcentral's name for it is "partial 16S ribosomal RNA". It matches the Rfam family "Bacterial small subunit ribosomal RNA", at positions 338 to 795 of the family's 1533-position model. The record is from RNAcentral.
CCUACGGGGGACAGCAGUGAGGAAUAUUGGUCAAUGGACGAGAGUCUGAACCAGCCAAGUAGCGUGAAGGAUGACUGCCCUAUGGGUUGUAAACUUCUUUUAUAUGGGAAUAAAAUGUUCCACGUGUGGGAUUUUGUAUGUACCAUAUGAAUAAGGAUCGGCUAACUCCGUGCCAGCAGCCGCGGUAAUACGGAGGAUCCGAGCGUUAUCCGGAUUUAUUGGGUUUAAAGGGAGCGUAGGUGGAUUGUUAAGUCAGUUGUGAAAGUUUGCGGCUCAACCGUAAAAUUGCAGUUGAAACUGGCAGUCUUGAGCACAGUAGAGGUGGGCGGAAUUCGUGGUGUAGCGGUGAAAUGCUUAGAUAUCACGAAGAACUCCGAUUGCGAAGGCAGUUCACUGGACUGCAACUGACACUGAGGCUCGAAAGUGUGGGUAUCAAACAGGAUUAGAUACCCCAGUAGUC